AUUGAACGCUGGCGGCAGGCCUAACACAUGCAAGUCGAGCGGAUGAAGGGAGCUUGCUCCUGGAUUCAGCGGCGGACGGGUGAGUAAUGCCUAGGAAUCUGCCUGGUAGUGGGGGAUAACGUCCGGAAACGGGCGCUAAUACCGCAUACGUCCUGAGGGAGAAAGUGGGGGAUCUUCGGACCUCACGCUAUCAGAUGAGCCUAGGUCGGAUUAGCUAGUUGGUUGGGUAAAGGCCUACCAAGGCGACGAUCCGUAACUGGUCUGAGAGGAUGAUCAGUCACACUGGAACUGAGACACGGUCCAGACUCCUACGGGAGGCAGCAGUGGGGAAUAUUGGACAAUGGGCGAAAGCCUGAUCCAGCCAUGCCGCGUGUGUGAAGAAGGUCUUCGGAUUGUAAAGCACUUUAAGUUGGGAGGAAGGGCAGUAAGUUAAUACCUUGCUGUUUUGACGUUACCAACAGAAUAAGCACCGGCUAACUUCGUGCCAGCAGCCGCGGUAAUACGAAGGGUGCAAGCGUUAAUCGGAAUUACUGGGCGUAAAGCGCGCGUAGGUGGUUCAGCAAGUUGGAUGUGAAAUCCCCGGGCUCAACCUGGGAACUGCAUCCAAAACUACUGAGCUAGAGUACGGUAGAGGGUGGUGGAAUUUCCUGUGUAGCGGUGAAAUGCGUAGAUAUAGGAAGGAACACCAGUGGCGAAGGCGACCACCUGGACUGAUACUGACACUGAGGUGCGAAAGCGUGGGGAGCAAACAGG
Molecule: ribosomal RNA, 753 nt
Filed under: uncultured Pseudomonas sp.
Lineage: Bacteria; Pseudomonadati; Pseudomonadota; Gammaproteobacteria; Pseudomonadales; Pseudomonadaceae
Description: bacterial SSU rRNA
Rfam family: Bacterial small subunit ribosomal RNA
Source: RNAcentral